Molecule: long non-coding RNA, 1041 nt
Filed under: Elaeis guineensis (African oil palm)
Lineage: Eukaryota; Viridiplantae; Streptophyta; Magnoliopsida; Arecales; Arecaceae
Description: long non-coding RNA (EGUI_LNC081997)
Source: RNAcentral
AAUCAAUUUCAGAUCUGAAUAAUUCAUGAUUUAUUUUAGAUUUGAAAUGAUUUCAGAUCCAAAAAAAUCUUGUAAUCAUAUUACAGUAUAUAGAAAGUUUAGAUCUAAUCUUAAUCGAUGUUCUAUAUCAUUAUAGGACAAUCGUUCAGCAUAAGAGGGUUAUGCCAGGGUAACCUUAUUUCAUAAUGAGUAAAUCAUCAAACUAACCUUCAGAUCUGAUUUCUACAAAUCAAAUUUUAGAUCUGAGAAAUUUUCAUAUUCAUAUCAGAACCUAUGCUCUGAUAUCACUACUAGAAAACUGCUACGAUUUUGUACGUGUAGUUCAAAAUUUUUUUCUAAACAUAAAGCAGUGGAAGUAAAUAAAUUAAAAUAUUUUUAAUCUAAACACAUACCAGAUCUGAUCUGAAAAUCAUAGCAAGAAUCUUGACAUGAAUAUGUUACUAUGAUAUGAAAUCUGAAAAAAAAACAAUCGUUAGUGAAAACAAAUGGAGAUCAGAUCUCCAUACCUUUGGAUCUAUGGAUGUUCUAGGUUCUGAUCGUAGUCGCGCACACACCCAACCUCUAUUGGUAUCCACACAGAGAUGCUUGAUUGGAGCAUUGAGAUCACUGGUGUACUAGCAUCUUGCAGAUCUCGCUCCUCAAUCUUGGAUCUAGAUCUCUUCUUCUAGAUCUUAAAGAAGGAGAUUGCAGUGCGAACUCUUUUGCACAGAUCCGAUAGGAUCUAAAUCAGAUCACCAUGAAGAGAAGAAGAACCCUUCUUCUUCUCUUCUUCUCUCUCUUUUUCUCUUCUUAGAUUUGAUCACCAUCAGAUCUGGGGGUUGGAUGAAGGGGAGAAGGGAGGAGGAGGCGUUGGAAAGGAGAGCAUGUCCUAAAGAAGUCGCCACUUCUUAUUUCAUGCAAGACCUCACACCCCCUUUUUUUCUAUUUUGUUGCACAACCACUAACUCCAUAUCUCAUGCACAACUUCUCCUUAACACCAAGAGAUCUCAUCUCAUUUAAUCUAAGGUGUUCAAAUCCAAAUCAAUGGAUAGAUGGGCGUAG